Molecule: transfer RNA, 71 nt
Filed under: Microcaldota archaeon
Lineage: Archaea; Nanobdellati; Microcaldota
Description: tRNA-His
Rfam family: tRNA
About the family: Transfer RNA (tRNA) molecules are approximately 80 nucleotides in length. Their secondary structure includes four short double-helical elements and three loops (D, anti-codon, and T loops).
Source: RNAcentral
GCCGAGGUAGUGUAAAGGCUGCACAGAGGGCUGUGGACUCUCUAGCCUGGGUCCGAUUCCCAGCCUCGGCC